CCUGGGCGUUCUCUGCCCAUGUAGCGAGGUCAAGGUCCUGGGAGCCGAACUCUCCCUUGAUGUUCAAUCUUUUUAAAUCUUUCCCAGCCUUUAUUUCUCAUCUGCAAAAUGACGAUAAUCGCAUUUGAAAUUCUCCGUUUUCAAAAUGCAGGAAUUUAUUAAAGGAUACGUAGGCUGGGGAAACAAGGGAGACGAAAGAUCUAAAUCUAAAUGGUAGACCAGAAAAAGGAAGGCAAGGGUGUCUGGAAACACAAAACAGUCAACAUAGAUUUUAAGACUCAUCUAUACUCUCUUCUUCCCGGGUUUGGGAACUGCGGUUGCUACACAGGUCACAUUUGAAAUAAAAGUCCUGGGACGGCGGCCGG
RNAcentral lists this long non-coding RNA (365 nucleotides) under Homo sapiens (human). Its description in RNAcentral is "HSALNT0323264". The record is from RNAcentral. Lineage: Eukaryota; Metazoa; Chordata; Mammalia; Primates; Hominidae.